GACGAACGCUGGCGGCGUGCCUAAUACAUGCAAGUCGAACGAACUCUGGUAUUGAUUGGUGCUUGCAUCAUGAUUUACAUUUGAGUGAGUGGCGAACUGGUGAGUAACACGUGGGAAACCUGCCCAGAAGCGGGGGAUAACACCUGGAAACAGAUGCUAAUACCGCAUAACAACUUGGACCGCAUGGUCCGAGCUUGAAAGAUGGCUUCGGCUAUCACUUUUGGAUGGUCCCGCGGCGUAUUAGCUAGAUGGUGGGGUAACGGCUCACCAUGGCAAUGAUACGUAGCCGACCUGAGAGGGUAAUCGGCCACAUUGGGACUGAGACACGGCCCAAACUCCUACGGGAGGCAGCAGUAGGGAAUCUUCCACAAUGGACGAAAGUCUGAUGGAGCAACGCCGCGUGAGUGAAGAAGGGUUUCGGCUCGUAAAACUCUGUUGUUAAAGAAGAACAUAUCUGAGAGUAACUGUUCAGGUAUUGACGGUAUUUAACCAGAAAGCCACGGCUAACUACGUGCCAGCAGCCGCGGUAAUACGUAGGUGGCAAGCGUUGUCCGGAUUUAUUGGGCGUAAAGCGAGCGCAGGCGGUUUUUUAAGUCUGAUGUGAAAGCCUUCGGCUCAACCGAAGAAGUGCAUCGGAAACUGGGAAACUUGAGUGCAGAAGAGGACAGUGGAACUCCAUGUGUAGCGGUGAAAUGCGUAGAUAUAUGGAAGAACACCAGUGGCGAAGGCGGCUGUCUGGUCUGUAACUGACGCUGAGGCUCGAAAGUAUGGGUAGCAAACAGGAUUAGAUACCCUGGUAGUCCAUACCGUAAAGAUGAUGCUAGUGUUGGAGGGUUUCCGCCCUUCAGUGCUGCAGCUAACGCAUUAAGCAUUCCGCCUGGGGAGUACGGCCGCAAGGCUGAAACUCAAAGGAAUUGACGGGGGCCCGCACAAGCGGUGGAGCAUGUGGUUUAAUUCGAAGCUACGCGAAGAACCUUACCAGGUCUUGACAUACUAUGCAAAUCUAAGAGAUUAGACGUUCCCUUCGGGGACAUGGAUACAGGUGGUGCAUGGUUGUCGUCAGCUCGUGUCGUGAGAUGUUGGGUUAAGUCCCGCAACGAGCGCAACCCUUAUUAUCAGUUGCCAGCAUUAAGUUGGGCACUCUGGUGAGACUGCCGGUGACAAACCGGAGGAAGGUGGGGAUGACGUCAAAUCAUCAUGCCCCUUAUGACCUGGGCUACACACGUGCUACAAUGGAUGGUACAACGAGUUGCGAACUCGCGAGAGUAAGCUAAUCUCUUAAAGCCAUUCUCAGUUCGGAUUGUAGGCUGCAACUCGCCUACAUGAAGUCGGAAUCGCUAGUAAUCGCGGAUCAGCAUGCCGCGGUGAAUACGUUCCCGGGCCUUGUACACACCGCCCGUCACACCAUGAGAGUUUGUAACACCCAAAGUCGGUGGGGUAACCUUUUAGGAACCAGCCGCCUAAGGUGGGACAGAUGAUUAGGGUGAAG
This 1489-nucleotide ribosomal RNA is filed under the name Lactiplantibacillus plantarum. Its description in RNAcentral is "Lactobacillus plantarum partial 16S ribosomal RNA". It matches the Rfam family "Bacterial small subunit ribosomal RNA". The record is from RNAcentral. Lineage: Bacteria; Bacillati; Bacillota; Bacilli; Lactobacillales; Lactobacillaceae.